UUUCCGUAGGUGAACCUGCGGAAGGAUCAUUAUUGAGUGAGGGCCCCUCGGGGUCCAACCUCCCACCCGUGUUUAACGAACCUUGUUGCUUCGGCGGGCCCGCCUCACGGCCGCCGGGGGGCAUCUGCCCCCGGGCCCGCGCCCGCCGAAGCCACCUGUGAACGCUGUCUGAAGUAUGCAGUCUGAGACAAUUAUUAAAUUAAUUAAAACUUUCAACAACGGAUCUCUUGGUUCCG
Molecule: unclassified non-coding RNA, 236 nt
Filed under: plant metagenome
Description: partial contains small subunit ribosomal RNA, internal transcribed spacer 1, and 5.8S ribosomal RNA
Source: RNAcentral